Vicia villosa (hairy vetch) is the source of this 1633-nucleotide long non-coding RNA. RefSeq lists it as uncharacterized. The transcript has 2 exons. Lineage: Eukaryota; Viridiplantae; Streptophyta; Magnoliopsida; Fabales; Fabaceae. The record is from RefSeq and is a predicted model, not a curated record.
UUAAUCUCCCCUAAUGUCGAUUAACAACAGACAGGUUUUCCCAAUUAACUCGAUUAAUCACAUUAAUUCAAUUAAUAACAUUCAAGGAAUUCAAAAGGGAUUAGGGUUACUCUUUUGAGCUUUCAUGUUCCUCUUCUUCACAUGAACAGCGGCGGCACCGGAGUAAAGCUCAUCUCCGAUUCAAGGACCGGCGCUCUCCUCUCUCGCUCAACCCUCUCACGUUCAACCUUUCUCCGAUUCUGAUUUUGUCUCAUUUCUCUCCGAUAAUAUCGUUCUCCCGGCUCACUCUCAGAUUCAACUCACACCGCCGGUGAAUGCUUCACGGGGACGGCGUCUCAGUUCACUUGUUGCGCAAAUCUCUCGUCUCAAAACGCUAAUCAAACUCUUCCGAUUUCACUCUGAAUCCCUAUCCUUCUCGCAUCUCUCCGUUUCCGAAUCUCCGUUCCAAUUCAAAUUAAUAGAACGUUAUUGAAUCUUCGUGCGUGUUGUGGAACGUUAUUGCAGGUGAUGAUAAGCGUUGAAUGAUUGAGGAUGUGGAUUGUUGCGUGGAGUUUGUAUGAUGAUCGUGAUAGGGAUCGAAGUUUGAGAUCGAGAUGCGUGGAAUCUUCUUCUGAUUAUCUCCUUUCUUGUUCUUCUGCAGGUUGAAAGUUAUAAGGAUUGUGGAAGACUCUUCUGGUGAAGAUUGAGAGGAAGGAGAAUUGGAGAUUUCUCAGAUUGCAAAGAAGAUUGUUCUGUUGUGAAGAUUGUAGCGCCAUUUUCAGAGAGAGAAUUGGAGAGGUGAUAUGAAGGUUCGAUGAUGAUGAAGAGUUUGUUACAUUCUUUUGGUAAUUUUUCUGUUAUGAUGGUGAAUCCAAGAAGAACGAUGGAGAAUUGAUGAAGAUGAGUUGAGAGAUUGGAGAUGAUAAACGUGGUUCAAUGUUGAUGAUUGAUGAAGGUCGGUUAGAGUCUGGAAGGAGAGUGUUUGAAGAUUCAAGAUCCAGAAAGUUAUGAUGGUGGAUGAAUGAAGAUGAUGAAGAUUGGAUAUGAUUCGUUUUGGAGAGUUUUCUGUGAAUUCAAGGAUUGAGAAAGAGAAAAAAAAAGUUUGUUACGAAUUCUGUUUUUGGUUAUGAGAGUUAUGCGAACCGGUUCGGUUUAUUUCUGCCUUGUGAAGCCGUGUGGUUGCAGGAUAGCUUUCGUUGCAGGGCUGCGUUUUUUGGUUCUCAUUUUUCUUCUCCUUCAACUGUUAUGCUGAGUUUGGUCUUUUUUUUCCAGUUGUGAACCGAUUUUAGUCCCUCUUCGGCCAGUCCAAAAAACGGUCCCUUUGGCUUUGAUGCUGCACAGUUUAACGUGUAGAGUUUUAUGAACCGGUUUGAUUAUGCAGGCGCAAGGUUUGGUGGCUGCCGGUUCGGUUUAAUCGUGUAUAGGUGUGGCUUAAUUUGAAGUAAUUUUGGUCAAGCAAUUGCGAAUCGGUUUUAGCAUUGCUGAGUGUGUAUUUUGGAUUUUUUUUUUUGUAACUUUUGUGAAAGGUUUGAAUUAUGUGAUGAAUAUAGAUGUAUGGUAUUGUAUGGGAUAUUUGAGUAUUUUUUGUAAUAAAUUUGUAAUGGAUUUUUCCUGAAUUUGAAUGAUGAUGGACCUUGCAAGCAAUUUGAACGAA